UUCCAGACUCCUACGGGAGGCAGCAGUGGGGAAUAUUGCGCAAUGGGCGAAAGCCUGACGCAGCGACGCCGCGUGAGGGAUGAAGGUCUUCGGAUCGUAAACCUCUGUCAGCAGGGAAGAACGGUCACUGUGCUAAUCAGCAGUGAAUUGACGGUACCUGCAAAGGAAGCACCGGCUAACUCCGUGCCAGCAGCCGCGGUAAUACGUAUGGUGCAAGCGUUAUCCGGAUUUACUGGGUGUAAAGGGAGCGCAGGCGGCACGGCAAGCCUGAUGUGAAAGCCCGCGGCCCAACCGCGGGACUGCAUUGGGAACUACCGGGCUGGAGUGCCGGAGAGGUAGGCGGAAUUCCUAGUGUAGCGGUGAAAUGCGUAGAUAUUAGGAGGAACACCAGUGGCGAAGGCGGCCUACUGGACGGUGACUGACGCUGAGGCUCGAAAGCGUGGGGAGCAAACAGGAUUAGAUACCCCAGUAG
This 472-nucleotide ribosomal RNA is filed under the name uncultured bacterium. RNAcentral's name for it is "partial 16S ribosomal RNA". It matches the Rfam family "Bacterial small subunit ribosomal RNA", at positions 329 to 793 of the family's 1533-position model. The record is from RNAcentral.